RNAcentral lists this ribosomal RNA (248 nucleotides) under uncultured Erysipelotrichaceae bacterium. RNAcentral's name for it is "partial 16S ribosomal RNA". It matches the Rfam family "Bacterial small subunit ribosomal RNA", at positions 524 to 772 of the family's 1533-position model. The record is from RNAcentral. Lineage: Bacteria; Bacillati; Bacillota; Erysipelotrichia; Erysipelotrichales; Erysipelotrichaceae.
UACGUAGGUGGCAAGCGUUAUCCGGAAUGAUUGGGCGUAAAGGGUGCGCAGGCGGAACCAUAAGUCUGAAGUAAAAGCCAUCGGCUCAACCGAUGUAAGCUUUGGAAACUGUGGAUCUGGAGUGCAGGAGAGGAAAGCGGAAUUCCUAGUGUAGCGGUGAAAUGCGUAGAUAUUAGGAGGAACACCAGUGGCGAAGGCGGAUUGCUGGACAGUAACUGACGCUGAGGCGCGAAAGCGUGGGGAGCAAA